RNAcentral lists this ribosomal RNA (252 nucleotides) under uncultured bacterium. RNAcentral describes it as "partial 16S ribosomal RNA". It matches the Rfam family "Bacterial small subunit ribosomal RNA", at positions 524 to 776 of the family's 1533-position model. The record is from RNAcentral.
UACGUAGGUCCCGAGCGUUGUCCGGAUUUAUUGGGCGUAAGGCGAGCGCAGGUGGUUUAUUAAGUCUGGUGUAAAAGGCAGUGGCUCAACCAUUGUAUGCAUUGGAAACUGGUAGACUUGAGUGCGGGAGAGGAGAGUGGAAUUCCAUGUGUAGCGGUGAAAUGCGUAGAUAUAUGGAGGAACACCGGUGGCGAAAGCGACUCUCUGGCCUGUAACUGACAAUGAGGCUCGAAAGCGUGGGGAGCAAACAGG